UUCUGGGAGGAUUGACAGAUUGAGAGCUCUUUCCUCAUUCGGUGGGUGGUGGUGCAUGUCCGUUCUUAGUUGAUAGAGCGAUUUGUCUGGUUCACUCCGAUAACGAACGAGACUCGAGCCUAUUAAAUAGGUGCGUGGUUCUCUGCACCUUGCACCCUUCUUAGAGGGACAAGCGGCAAACAGAGCAAUAACAGGUCGGUUUAGCCCUUAGAU
RNAcentral lists this ribosomal RNA (213 nucleotides) under Ixodes scapularis (black-legged tick). Its description in RNAcentral is "eukaryotic small subunit ribosomal RNA". It matches the Rfam family "Eukaryotic small subunit ribosomal RNA", at positions 1229 to 1478 of the family's 1831-position model. The record is from RNAcentral. Lineage: Eukaryota; Metazoa; Arthropoda; Arachnida; Ixodida; Ixodidae.